Long non-coding RNA from Gallus gallus (chicken), 2167 nucleotides. NCBI's taxonomy places the organism in Eukaryota, Metazoa, Chordata, Aves, Galliformes, Phasianidae. The record is from Ensembl.
UGUUGACCUCGCCCGAGGUGCGGCUGGUUGUCAGUGGGUGCGUGCAGCAGCUUGCUGCCUGCCCCUUGCAGCAUCCCCGCCUCAGGUGUGCCUCUGCUUCCCCAAAGGGAGCCAAGUCAUGGUCUGUGCAGCUCCUCCCGCCCUCUGCUCGGGUAUGGCACACGGGGACAGACCCUGGGAGCAGGGAACCCGACUGUCACCUGCUGCAUCCAGCAGGAUUUUCGCUCAGCCCUUUGGCUGUCCAAACAUUUGCGGAGUGCUGGCAGGCCCGGAAUGUGUGCAAGAGCUCCGGCAGCGUGUCUCAGGCGUGGGAAAGCUCUGCUCUCCUCAACCUUUACAGGCUUGUUCCCCCUCAGGCAGCGAUUCAAUAAAACCCGCGCCAGAGAUUUAUUGAGCUGAUAAUGACAGCUUCAGUCAGCAGGCAGACACCGGCGAAGCCUCCAAAAAAAUAAAAUAAUAAAGUAAAGUGGAAUAAAAAAAAGAGGGAAGAAAUGCUGGUGCCCGGCCCAGGCUGCAACCCCCCCCCUUGCUGAGGGUCCCUGGGUGGGCAGUGCAGUGCAGGGGGUGUGGGGGGGAUGCGGUGUGCUGGUAUCCCAUGGGGUGCAGUGCUGGGGAUGCUGGGGGGCUCUCUGCUCUGCUCUUUGUGGGUUGUGCUGCAAGGAAGCAAACUGCAGCCCCGUGCAGCCAGCAGUGCCAUUCUGGUUCUGUGCCCCUUAGGGAAAUCCUGGAAGACAAAAGAGAGGAGGAACCCAGCCCGGCCCCCAGGGCACUGUGCAGCCACGCUGGGGUUAAAUCCCUCAAACACACCUGUGCUUAUCAAGCCCGUUUUUACCCAUGGGAAAUGCAGGAGAUAGAGGGGAAGUGACUCACCUGCAGGAGCUGGGAACAGACCCGCUCGCCCAGCACAGCGAUAAGCAGGGUUCAUGGCUUGCUCCGGUGCACGGCAAUGCAUGGCACAUGGCAAUGCAUGGCACACAGCAAUGCAUGGCACAUAGCAAUGCAUGGCACACGGCGGUGCAUGGCACACAGCAGUGCAUGGCACACAGCAAUGCAUGGCACAUGGUAAUGCAUGGCACACAGCAAUGCAUGGCGCAUGGUAAUGCAUGGCACACUGCAGUGCAUGGCACACUGCAUUCCCUCCAGCAAACCCAUGCAGCUCAGUGCUGUGCUUUAAGGAAACCUUUCCUGAGAUAACCCUCAGUUCAGAACCCUCCACCUCCUAUGGGAGCUCCUGGAGGCACAGAAAAACGUGCUGGGGUAUGAAAGGACCUCGCAUCGCCUCUCUGAUUUAAUUAUUACCUUCUGUCCUCUUUGUGGCACUGCAAUCAUUCAGGUGAGCUUUCUCCAUGCUGAGAGUGCUUGGUGGCACCGGGGGGUGGCUGUGCAGCCCUGUCCCCGAGCACAGCACCUCAAAGCCCAUUGAGAUAAAGGCAUCCCAGGCAGAAGGGGAGCACGGGGGGCGGCGGUUCCAGCGGGGCCUUUUGCAAUUUGGCUGUCAACAGAUAGGGCAACUGGUUUCUAUAAUAAACACCGAGGGAUAGGUUUUCAAAGAGCAGAGGCCCUGCCUGCCCGGGCUGUGUGUAAUUUGUAACAGAGCAAAUCCAAGGGGCUGGCGGGCUGCCGCGCUCGGCUCGCGGGUUUGGCUGCCGUUUGGUGAGUCCAGAAGGUGCAGGUUCCCUCUGAACGCACAACCCCAACACGCUGAGGCUCUGUGGCUUUGCUGUUUGGUGUCCCAAAGCACGCGCUGUGCCGGUUGCGUGGCUGCGAGGGGCCCUCCCGCAGCUCCCCGGGGCGGGUGAGCACCGCGCACGCAGCAUCUGCUUGGCUGCAAAGCUGUCCGCCUUCCGGCAGCUUUGAGAAACGUGUGACCUCCUGGCACGGCAGCCCAGCUCCUGUCGCAGUGGGGCGGCUCGCUCCCUGGGUGGCAGGCAGCGGGGCAGCUCCCUUCUCCCAGCAGAAGCCACGAAGCUCUUGCACACAUGCGUGCACGCACGCAGCCCUUCCAAAGGCUCUGCCGGCUCCCGGCAUCUGUUCCACAUCACCUUCCUCCUUCUGCAGGGCUCGCUCCAUCCUUCCCCCAGAUGUUUCCAUCCCCCCGUGGUAUGAGGAACGCACAGAGCGAGCGCAGAUGUCGGCGUUGUGCAGCCAGCUCUGGCCUGGGGCAUGC